AGGCUGGACAGACGGGUCUUCAGCUAACGCCCACUCCGGUCUGUGAGGGUCGUGGCGCGGCUGCUGCUCCCUUGGGGGCCCAUAGGGGAGAUGGUGCUGUUGGCAUAUGUGUCAUAACUGUUGUCUGAACAUACAGAGAGCUCAUCGGAGACCUCCAUGCCAUCGCUGAUCUCUGUUGGGCCAGAAGGAGGCAGAAUAUGAGUGCAGGAAGGAGAGGAGUGGAUAGAUGGCUGGCAGAUGCGGUGGGAAAGGGUGGCCUGGAGCCACUCCUGGUCAGCCACUAGGAGGAAUGAAACCUCGGGUUUCAGAACAAAGCCCAAGCUCCUGACCACACACUUGAGGCCGAAGUGCCUCCCCAGCGCCAUCUUGGGGUGAGUCAGCCAGAGGCCCUGCCUUCGAGCCAUGGCAAGGAGUGCUCCCUCACUACCUCUGAACACAUGCUGUUCCUGCCUCAAAUGCCCUUCCUUCCCUCUGCUCGCCCAGCCCUCACCUCAAACCUAUCACCCUCCUACCCUUCCUUCCCAUUUCAACUACAUCACCUCCUCACAGAGUGGGCCCCAAAACCUUCCUCACUGCCCCAGGGAACUCUGAACCCCUCUCUCCUCCUUGUACCCCACUCUGGCUCAGCACCCCCAUCUAUUAGAGCUCAGUGACACCUAAUUUUCCAUGUAUUUGUUUAUACAGCUGCCUCCUCCAUCAAUCUGGGAAUGUCAAAAGGCAGCAAGCAGGGGUGAAAUCAACGUUUGUGGGGUCUGUGUAUGAACCAGCAUGGCAGGAUGGGCCUCCAGCCCUCCCCCCACCCCUGCAUGUCACCCUUGCCCACUACCCAUGGGGCUGACACUGAGCCACAGGACCUGGAGUUGAUGGCUGCAUGUGGACGGGUAUGCAUUUCUGUGUGUGUAUGUGUAUGUGUGCCCCUGUACCAGUGUGAGCGUGAAGCUAGGUGGGUAUAUUUAUGUCUGUGCCGUGUCCCUACCUGUAUGUGCUGUGUGUGAAAUGUGUGCACGCACACCCGUCUGCACAUGUCGGGUGCAGAGGACAGAGCCCAGAGCCUGACUCAACCUGUCUGCGGAGCUGCACACCUGAAAAGAUGAGCUUCUCCUUCAUGAUGCUGACAUCCCGGCUGGUCCGGUGCACCGCGGCACUCAGCAUGAUCUGCUCGGGGUUGUAGCUCCGUAUGCCACCCAGGCGCCACCUGCAGAGAUGGCCCCGUGGGCAUCAGGUCCUUCCCCACCUUUCCUUGGAGAAGGGAUCCUUCCCACUCCCACAGACUCUCUGGAUUUGGCCUGAGAGACCAGCAGGACUCUUGUCCGACUGUACAGAUGGAGAAACUGAGGCCCAGAGUAGGGCAGAGCUGGGGCCUGAAUCAGUCUGCUGACUGUCAGCCAGGGCUCUCCAGCCCUCUUACCUCCAGACCCCUAGAUCCGCUCCCCUUGCCCAGGAGGAUGGUUAGGGGUUGGUUAGUUAUGUGUCAGGUGCCCCCAGUUAUACACCUGGACAAAUUUGGGGGUGGGGGCUUAGCAGGCAUGACUGAUGACCCACCCUGGAGUGCAAACCAAUCUUGGGGAGUCCCAGCUGAUGUCGCCUACAGCUCCAUCAUCAGGACCAGGCUGAGUGAAGCCAGUGAGGAACCCCAGAGAGGAAGUGAAGGAAAGCAGGGAGGGGAGGGGAGACAGCAGGGAGCUUGUCUUCAUGGCGUCACAAGGCAAGGGUGCUGGAGUGACUUGGGGAGGGGCCUGCUGCUGCUCUGUUCCAACAGCCCUGGAAGAGUGGGGUGCAUAUUCCCUAGUGGAGAGGGACAGGCCGGAGCAUUACCCCUUUAAUGGCUGGGGCAAGGUGGGAGCAAAACUGAAUGGGCUGAGAGGUGGGGCUGCAUAGGGCAUGCAGGGACCAGGCAGAGCUGGGAGGACUUGGGUUCCUUCGUCGGGCCCAGGGCACAGUUCUUGCUGUUACAGUUCCUCUGAACUAGCCCCAAAUCCCUGGCCUCUGAACUUAGAUUCUUCCUGCAACCUAGACAGAAGGACUCACCGGACCCCCAGCCCCACUCAGGGAAGUGGGGAUCAGCUUGGAAACAAAAACCCAACCCCCCAGGGCCCGACGCCCUGCUGGAGUAGGUGGAGGGAGCCCAGACUCCACGGGAAAUCAGUUGUUUCCAGAUGGGAUCAGCACAGCAGAAAUGGACAGACAGAUGGACAGGCAGACAGGUGGAUGAACAGAGCAGACAGACAAGGGGAAAGCAGGAGGCAGAGGGGAAGGCAACCUCUGGCUGGGCUGGCUGCCCUACGCAUCCCUGAGAACAGCAAUAGGGUCUUUUAUUUAUCGCUGCGUGCCUGGCACCAAGCCCAAUGCCUGCUGUGUGCUCUAAGUAUCAUUGAGUGAAUGAAUGGAAGAAUGAGGACCACAGGGAAAUGAACUUCUCCCCCAGGGUCCUCUCCUCCAUCAGGCCUUGCCUGACCCCCCAGGAAGACGAUGAUGCCGUCCUGGCUGUAUCUUGAGUGGCCUAGCAUGUCGGUGGAGCACCCUGGGGAAGAAGGCCCAGCACAGCACCAGCCAGCACAUGUGGACAUCUGCCGACUGAGAGGAUGGUGGAGGGACCAGGCAAAUGGCCCUUUGCUGGGCUCAGUCCCACAGUCAGUGAGCACAGAGUUCCUCCUCCUAGAAGUUGGUCAGUGAAGAUGACUGACCUAGGAGGGCCCAAGGCACCUGACCAAAGGGAACUUGCACCCCCAAGACCAAGGUCUCAGCUUGGAAAUUAACGUUAAACCCAGGAGGAAAGUGUCAGGCCCGUGUCUCUGCAGUGAGGUACAUCUAGGACAGGAAGCUCAACCACUGGGGGUAUUUCCCAGGGGAAAGUACGGGAGGCUGUGCUCAUGGCGGGAGAGCAGUGGGGUGGGAGUCAGAGACAGAAAGUGAAAGAAAGAAGAGAGGUGGAGAGAAAGAUAAACAGAGUGAGGGAGGGGAAAGGCAAACUGGGAGUGGGAGGGCCACAGGUGGCAGGGAGAAACAGAACUUGGUAGGCUGUGCACCGGGCACUGGGGAAGGCCUUGCCCAAAGUGCCAGGCUGUGGGGGGUGGCCCAAGCAGAGCCCCUCCCCAGAGGGAGAUGCUCAGGUGCUGAGAGAAGCCAGGUCAGCAACCUGCAAGGAAAUGCUGGUUCCCUGUCUGUGGGAGGGAGAGAGAGCAGAGGGACACACACGGCAAGGUGGGGAGAGAGAAGGGAGGACUGCAGGGGAGAGGAUGAGAGCAAGGACGGGAAGGCGGCUUCAGGCAGGGGAGGUGUCUGCGAGGGUGACCUGGGCCUAGGGCUCCUCAGGAGGCAGCCUUUCAGAGGGAGGUGGAGAGAGGGGGCGGCGAGAAGGAGGGAGAAAGAGGAACAGGAGGAGGACCACACCAGAAUUACCUGAUCAAGUGAUAGCUGUGAGAUGCCAGAGUGCAGCAAAGUGGGGAGGGGGAGAGAGGAGGGACAUGCGCCGGAUCAGAGCAGUAUGGGACAGAGAGAGAACGUCAGUCAAGAGUAAAACCCAGCCUGCUACUUCAUGGCUGGGUUGGGGCCCCGCCUGGCCCUAAAACCUCCCCAGGACCCACCCACUCCCACUGUGACCACCACCCCCAGCUGUCGUCCUGGAGGGUGGGUGGGGAGGUCUGAGCCCGGCACGAGUGCUGUGGAAACCUGUGCCCUGGGUGACAGGCGGGGAGACAAGCCUAGAGAGGAGCCCCCCCUGGAGCUGAAACUCACCAAAGAGUCUAUACAGCAAAUCCUGGCCCAGCUUGGCUCUGGGCUCCCGGCUGGGUACUCAUUCCAGAAGCCACUGGGCUCUGGCUGAGGGGGACGGGCUGGGGGCCACAGGGAGGCCUCCUUCUCCCCUGAACAGGGUGGUCUGGCCAGGACAUCUCCCGGCCCAGGGCUCAGGAGGGCGUUCACCUGGCUGGGGGCGGGAGCUGGCCCGUCUCAGGCAGGGAGGGCCGCGGAAGGUGGUCAGGGCCUACUCACUUCUGGAGCACGAAGAUGCCAACGAUCAGGAUGAAGGAGAUCAGGUCGGCGGUGACCCACAUGAGACAGUACUCGUCCGGGGGCUGUGGACAGAUGGCCCACAACCAGCUUCCAGUCACGGCUGGUCCAGACCAGGGCUCCAGACCAAGGGCCCAUGGGCAGGAGAAUCGCACGUCACCAUCAGGGAGGGGCAGAGGAGGACCUGGAGGGGGCUUAGGGGCUUGAGAUUAUAUUUUGUAGGAGUGGGCCUGGGGUUUGGGGGUGGGGUGCGUGUGUAGGAUAAAAGAGAUCUGUGCAGUGUUCACUGUAGAGGUGGUGUGUUUUAAACCUAGAGGAUUUAUGUGCUUAAAGGGGCUUAAUGCAAGAACCAAAAUAUGAAAGACAGAUAGAUGAAUGAGAGGGUGUGACGUGACAAGCAGGUGCGCGGGUGGGUAUGUGAAGAGGUAUGUGGCAUCCAUGUGCGUGUGAGAGUACAUGUCAUUGUAGGGUGUGGAGUGUGGGAGCUUCCCCUCCAGGGGGCCAUAGAGAGGGGCCCAGCAGGGUGAAACCUGCAGAGCAGCCAGGCCUCACACCCCCUUGACCUCAGGUAAACUGUGGAGGUGGGCUAGGGCACUUUUUGCUGUUGCUCAGUUCCUGUGGCCUGAAAAUCAGAGUGUGCUCAUAGCUACUGCUGCCACAGUUAUUUCAUCUCAGUCCGAGCUGAGCCUUCAGAGGUUUUAAAAGACCAUGGGUGGGGGGAUGGAGCUAACCACCCAAAACCUAGAUCUGAUUCACUGACACGGCAUCAUCUUAGCCAUAAUGAGACCCUCCAUCUGCCUUUCAUGACCUCAGGGAAGUGGCAGUGGGAGCACAAGAGGGAGGUCAAGGGCUCCCCAAGCCCCCUGGUUGGCAGAGCUGGGACUGGAACACAGGCCUGUCUUCAGGUGCUCAGUCGGUCAACCAACUGAAAGCUGGUUUUGUUGGCUGUAAUCUCUGAGAAGAUUUUAAUGUUCCCUAUUUUUGCCUCGUUGCCCUCUUUUCCCAAUGACUUCCCUUCCUUUAAAACAAAAUAUAAUAAUCUCCAACCCCCCCCCCCAAAUCCAAGUAGUUGUUUAUUAGUCUAGAGCUUUUGGUGUUUUUCCCCAUGUGGCUCAGGCCAAGGUUCCUCCUACCCCCCAGACCUUCGUGCAGGCCCAGAGGUCAGGAGAAUCUUCUUCAUGCCUCAAGCCUGUCCCCUCAGGUGCUCCCCCCACCCCUGAGACCUCACCAGAGGGAGCCUGGGUGUGGAGCCUGCCCCCCAGCCCUGGAAGCCAUAGGCAGCUCCCUGGACCCCCAACAAUCCCCAACUCACCAUGAUCCAGAGGGGGGAGGGCACCUGGGAUAAGGUGUGGGAGUUGUCAGAGGUGACAGACGGGACCCCCGCACACCACAGCAGGGAGAAGAGCCACGGGGCAUUGACUGUGUAGAGGUUCACGCUCAGGUUCCAGGAUGCAUAGUCCCUGUGGGGCAGGGACAGAGGCUGGUCGGCCCUUUGGCCAGUGUGGGAAGCCUGUAAAGCAUGGCCCUUCACAACCUCACGCCGUCCUCAAAACUGUCCCUGGAGGAAGGAAACUCUGCUCUCAGAGGGCCAAGCUCACAUACAAACCCAGGUGUGCCUGAUGUUCUCAACCUCUCCUCUUUGAACCCUGAGCCUGUGUGUCCAGUCCUCUGGGUGAGCCUGGGCAGGAUGGGGUGGGCACCUGAGCUCCUGGCGGGACACCUGAGUGUAGCGCAGGUUCAGCCGCUGGAUGUGGCCUUUCCGCAGGCUGGCAGCUGCCUCCUUGGAGCCCGAUGUCUGCUGGAAGCCAGGAGCCACCUUCUGCACGAAGGGCCUCUGCCUGUUAGGCAGCCACAGGACCUGCAGGCAGGAGAGGAGCAGCCUCUGAUUUCCCUUCUAUACAGUGGGGUUAGGGUGUCUGUCCCUCGUGGAGCACCUGGAGGGGUUAAAAGAGGCGGGACCUGGCACGCAGUGAAAGCUUUCAGGUAGUAACCACCUCCGGGGGAUGACUUGGUCCCAGCCAUGGCUGGGAAUUGCUUUGGCAACACCUCAGGAAGAUCCCCCUCCAGACCCUAGUCAGGACAAGACCGAUAACGCCCCAAAUGUCAACUACUGUGCACGUGGCCACCAGCGUCUUGUGUGCUGUCAUAGUUGGAAUCGUAUUUUUCUGAUCCCCAGGUAUCAUGUAGGUAACACUUCAUGGAAGUACCAUGUUCCGAAGAAUCUGGCCCUGCUCCUGCCCUUUGUACAUUUUAUUUUUUUUCCUUUGUACAUUUUAAACGCCUUUCUUAUUUCCCUCUUGGCCCCAUGAUGACCCUGUCAGGGAGGCGUGGGGUAUGCUACCCUCAUUUCACAAAUGUGGAACGCUGAGGUCUGGAGAGGGGACACGGUGAGUUUACUACUUGAGCGGGACUCCAGGCAGGCCUGGUCUCCCUGCGGGUGGGGCAGGGCUGGGCGGAGCUCAGCUCCUUGGGGACAGAGCUGGGUGGGGCUGGGCUGCAGGGCCUCACCUGGUGCUGGGGGAAGCCCGAGUGCAGCAGGGCCUCCAGCGUUACGUUGAGGAAGCUGCUGCGGUAGGGGUGCUCUCGCGGCGGGUCACGCAGGUUGAGCAGCAACGUGGCAUUGCCCUUGGCCAGCUCCAAGAGUUCCAUCAGGCUGCAGAUGGACUGGUUUUGGGCCUCCCUGUGGUCGGACGGUGACAGGGAACUGGCCGUCCAGAAGGGGUCCGUCUGGCAGAGACAGGGACACACGUUUGUCUCACCAGUCCUAUGGGGCCUCCACAUGCCUUCCUGGCUAUGGAACUUGGAGGCGACUGAGCUGCCAGUGUCGGCUGGUGUGUGCAAGUCAGGCACAUUGAAGGCUGGGGCCCUUUGGGACCUCUAGGAGAACCCAACCAUAACCUCUCUAUCCCAGUCUGCUUGCCAAAACAAUGAUUUGCUUGGAACAUAUCCCAGACCCCAGUCCGUUUUUCUCUCAGUAGCACUUCAGACCAGAGAACCAACUUCCUCUAGAGUUUUACAGUGUUAACAAUUUUAGCCAUUAACUAUUAUAAUCAAAAUCAACUUUUUCUGGUAGGGGAGGCAGAACCAGAACAAGUAGUGACAACCAUGAUAGCUGGGCUGCAGUGGCAGGAGCCCAAGGAGGCUGCCAACCAGCCUGGCUGUGAGUCAAGGAAGCUCGGCAUGUGAAGGUCACCUGAGCUGAGGGCUGCCCCUGGCCCUCUCCAUGGAGUCCCUGACCAUGCUUUCCAUGCCUAGGACUGGGACAGGUGCUGCCAGACCUUCAGGAACCACUGGCCAGCGUUGAGCCUCUGCAGCAGGGUCCAGUUGAGCAUGGAGGCGGGCCUGGGGGCGAGCUCCGGGAAUUCCUCCUCCACGUUGGUGGUGCGGCGCAGGGUGGCGUCAUGCAUGAGGAAGGGCACGCCGUCCAGGCUGUGGGAGGGUGGGGCUGCGGAGUCACUGCCCACCCAUGUCCCUCGCCCGCUCCUCCCCACCCACUUACACCAGCCCACAUAGGGACCCAGGCCCGCUCUGCCCCUCUUUGGGCCUCAGGUUCCCCGUCUGCACAGGGAAGUCAGUGGGCAGUAGGUGAAUCCCUCGGCUCUCUCUGAGGGUCAGAUGGGGGUGGGCACUGCUGAGGAGGGAGGGCUGAGCGUAUUCUCUCAGCAGCCCUGGGAGGUAGAGGCUAUCUCAUUUGAUAAUAGGGAAACUGAGGCUGGAGACAGAAGUAUCAAACUCAAGGCCUACCAGCCAGUAAGUGGUGGAACCUGGCUUAGAACCCAGUCCACGUGAUGCCAUAAUGAGAAGAGUGCAAAUGCAGGCCCCUUUGACAAGUUCCACCCUGGUAUCAUCCCGGUCUACCCCACUCUGCUGGGGCUGCCAGUAGCCCCAUAAGGUGCCUUAGCGUGAAACAGUAAAAGGCACCUGUGCUCCCCCUCCUCAAGGCAUUUUUCUACCACCUGCUAGAAAGUUUUGAUAAACACACAAUUCUAUAAUGUCUACAAUGGGAAUGGUACCCUCACACCGUGGUACCCCUGUUCAGUACCCUGCCCCCCUCCCC
This is a non-coding RNA of Delphinapterus leucas (beluga whale), 8065 nucleotides long. Lineage: Eukaryota; Metazoa; Chordata; Mammalia; Artiodactyla; Monodontidae. The record is from RefSeq and is a predicted model, not a curated record.